AUGGGGUGCAGCAGGCGAGAAAACUUUGCAAUGUGCGAAAGCACGACAAGGUUAGUCCGAGUGAUUUCUGCUAAAGAGAUCUUUUGCUAGUUAUAAAACCACUAGUGAAUAAGGGGUGGGCAAGUUCUGGUGUCAGCCGCCGCGGUAAAACCAGCACCUCAAGUGGUCAGGAUGAUUAUUGGGCCUAAAGCAUCCGUAGCCGGCUCUGUAAGUUUUCGGUUAAAUCUAUGCGCUCAACGUAUGGGCUGCCGAAAAUACUGUAGAGAUAGGGAGUGGGAGAGGUAGACGGCACUCGGUAGGAAGGGGUAAAAUCCUUUGAUCUAUCGAUGACCACCUGUGGCGAAGGCGGUCUACCAGAACACGUUCGACGGUGAGGGAUGAAAGCUGGGGGAGCAAACCGGAUUAGAUACCCGGGUAGUCCCAGCUGUAAACGAUGCAGACUCGAUGAUGCAUUGGCAUAUAGCCAGUGCAGUGUCGCAGGGAAGCCGUUAAGUCUGCCGCCUGGGAAGUACGUACGCAAGUAUGAAACUUAAAGGAAUUNNNGGGGGAGCAC
RNAcentral lists this ribosomal RNA (553 nucleotides) under uncultured crenarchaeote. RNAcentral describes it as "bacterial SSU rRNA". It matches the Rfam family "Archaeal small subunit ribosomal RNA", at positions 325 to 879 of the family's 1478-position model. The record is from RNAcentral. Lineage: Archaea; Thermoproteati; Thermoproteota.